This 338-nucleotide long non-coding RNA is filed under the name Cucumis sativus (cucumber). RNAcentral describes it as "long non-coding RNA (CSAT_LNC001397)". Lineage: Eukaryota; Viridiplantae; Streptophyta; Magnoliopsida; Cucurbitales; Cucurbitaceae. The record is from RNAcentral.
AUCGCAAGGACACGAGAUUAGGAAGAUCGCCAAGUGCUUGUGGAAUUUCCCCACUCAAAUCGUUCUCCAUCAAACUCAAGUCCGUCAAUUCCUUCAGAUUAUACAAAUCCGACGGAAUCGUUCCGGUAAGUUCAUUCUCAGACAAAUCAAGCUCUUCCAACGCUUCUAAUUUCCCCAAACUUCUAGGAAUUUCCCCACUGAUUCGAUUCUUGAAUAGAAGCAGAUUCUGAAGGUUCGUCAUGUUCCCAAUGUCUUGUGGCAGAGUCCCAGAGAGAUUCGCUUCGGCAAUAUCCAAGUAUUUCAGAUUCAACAGCAAAGGAAAUUUCGACGGAAUCCCA